Non-coding RNA from Myodes glareolus (Bank vole), 521 nucleotides. NCBI's taxonomy places the organism in Eukaryota, Metazoa, Chordata, Mammalia, Rodentia, Cricetidae. The record is from RefSeq and is a predicted model, not a curated record.
UCUCGCUUCCUGCUCUCCCUUCAACCAAGAGGCUCCAAUAAAGUGUGAUUUGAGAAGAAUCCUCGACUUCGUGGUCAUUCUUCCUUGCUGGUCAAGGGGUGCACCACAGUCUCCAGGAAGAUAAUGGCACCCUGCAACAACAAAUCCACCUGGAUUAUGGGGCCAACAUCAGCAACAAGCUACUCACCCUGGAGAAGAGCUGGGGGAGAGAGGCCACAGGCACCCAUUGCAUCAGACUGUGACUUCAGGAGGGGAACUGAGCCGCCCUGGGAGUCCCUCUGCUGGAGAGCAAAGGGAAAGCCAAAAGAAAAGAAAGGCCACAGGAGAUAAACAAACACAGGAGAGAGCCACACCAUGCGUUGGAAUGUGGACUUUAUCCAGAGGAUAUGAAAACACAAGUAAGGCUAUUACUUGCUAGUAGAGAAAGCAAAACAAAUGACUGGAGACUCGGGAGGAGGGGAGUUUCAAUUUCACGUACAAAGUCAACCUGAUCUCUGAAUUAAAACAUUGUUAUUGGUUCA